GGAGAGGUGGCUGAGUGGUCGAAAGCGGCAGAUUGCUAAUCUGUUGUAGGGUUUAUGCCUUACCGAGGGUUCGAAUCCCUCCCUCUCCG
RNAcentral lists this transfer RNA (89 nucleotides) under Acaryochloridaceae cyanobacterium CSU_5_19. Its description in RNAcentral is "tRNA-Ser". It matches the Rfam family "tRNA". Rfam says of the family: Transfer RNA (tRNA) molecules are approximately 80 nucleotides in length. The record is from RNAcentral. Lineage: Bacteria; Bacillati; Cyanobacteriota; Cyanophyceae; Acaryochloridales; Acaryochloridaceae. RNAcentral also lists the same sequence under 1 other name.